This 75-nucleotide transfer RNA is filed under the name Parascardovia denticolens IPLA 20019. Its description in RNAcentral is "tRNA-Pro". It matches the Rfam family "tRNA". Rfam says of the family: Transfer RNA (tRNA) molecules are approximately 80 nucleotides in length. Their secondary structure includes four short double-helical elements and three loops (D, anti-codon, and T loops). The record is from RNAcentral. Lineage: Bacteria; Bacillati; Actinomycetota; Actinomycetes; Bifidobacteriales; Bifidobacteriaceae.
CGGCUUGUAGCGUAGCUUGGUCAACGCACCUGCUUAGGGAGCAGGGGACCGCAGGUUCGAAUCCUGUCAAGCCGA